UAAAAUUAAAAAUUUUGGCGGUAUAUUAGUCUAUUUAGAGGAACCUGUUUUGUAACUGAUAAUCCACGAUUAAUUAAACUUAUUUAAGAAGUUUGUAUAUCGUCGUAGUUUGAAUAUUUUAAAAGAAUUAAAUAUUCAUUUUUUUAUAUAAAAAAUUAAAUCAGAUCGAGAUGCAGUUUAUAAAUAAGUAAAAAUGGGUUACAAUAGAUAAAUCUAUGGAAUAAUUCAUGAAAUUUUAUUAUGAAAAUGGAUUUAAUUGUAAAUUUGUAUAGUUUUAUAAAUUGAUUUUAGCUCUAAUAUAUGUACAUAUUGCCCGUCGCUUUUGUUUUAAAAUGAAAUAAGUCGUAACAAAGUAGACUAACUGGAAAGUGAGUCUAGAAGA
RNAcentral lists this ribosomal RNA (382 nucleotides) under Dasytes sp. NLG-2013. RNAcentral describes it as "partial 12S ribosomal RNA". The record is from RNAcentral. Lineage: Eukaryota; Metazoa; Arthropoda; Insecta; Coleoptera; Melyridae.